Non-coding RNA from Canis lupus familiaris (dog), 105 nucleotides. NCBI's taxonomy places the organism in Eukaryota, Metazoa, Chordata, Mammalia, Carnivora, Canidae. The record is from Rfam.
GUGCUCACUUUAGCAACACAUAGUAAAAUUGGAACAAUACAAAGGAGAUUAGCAUAAACUCUGUGCAAGAAUGAUGUCCAAAUUCAUGAAGCAUUCCAAUUAAAA